This 1325-nucleotide long non-coding RNA is filed under the name Equus asinus (donkey). Its description in RNAcentral is "lncRNA (ENSEASG00005034706.1)". The record is from RNAcentral. Lineage: Eukaryota; Metazoa; Chordata; Mammalia; Perissodactyla; Equidae.
AGAGAGGGUUGAGGGAAACACAAGAAAAAUCACCACUGAUUCCAUGAGCUCCUGUGGCCGAGGAUUGGCAGAACCUGUGGUCGAGAGGAUUGAAGGAGCUUGAGAGAACAGGAGGGGGCGCUCAUUCUCAAGCUGCCUGGGGAGCUAGCAUUUGUCUUCCCUUCGUCACCGUCACCACUUCUGAGCAACUGCCCACGGGGUAGAGGGCUCUAAACCUCUCACCUCCUUCAUCACAGUAGAAUUACAUUCUCCCCUGGAUUAAGAAAAGCUCUGACCUCCUGAAACCUGGUCUCUAAGCGUGAGGGAAACAGUCAGCGGGUCCAUUCAUUACCUCUGUGAUCGCAGCUCUCCCUGGGACUUUAAAAAGCAAAACUCCAUCUGUAUCUUCCAUCACGUAACCUGAAUUGUGCCCGAAGAAGGCAGAGAGUGGAGAGAUAACAACUCGUUUAGGGCAGCCCCGAAAGGGUUUCCGAAACUCCUCCUGCCAGCUGACAGGCAAGAUCUGAGUAUUGGCGCCCCAUUUAUCCCUCAUUUCCUGCCGUCCCCACCUCCACCUGUUGUGGAUUUGUGAAAAAGAAAGCGUCAAUUUUCCGAGGGAGGUAACCAUGGUUUCAACGCUGGCUCAGCUGUGUGAACUCGCUGUGUUUCUUAACCUCUCUGGGCCUAGUUUUUCACAUCUAUAAAUGAGAAUAAUGAGCGCCAUGUUUGUAACAGUGCUGGCUUAUAGUAGGCACUCAGAAACAGAACAAAAACGCCCGGUGAUGCAGAGGCAGAGACGUCCCCUCGAGGUGCUCACAGAAGGACCAGUCCUUACGCCGCGUCCCUUCAGUCAUCUGAUGCAACUCGGAAAGUGUCAAAGCCUUCACGUCCUUCCCCAGAGCGCUGGAUACGAUUAUCUUUCUACUAUUCAUUGAAACCAAGUGAAUUAGAUUAAAAAAUUGGGGUCCUCCUGUCCAGAUAGCAUUUGUAUUUCCAAAAGGGCUGCCUCGUCCUGGAUGCUGAACUAAGGCAGCAAACGCAGCUGUAAAUGACUCAGUCCAGCGAGUCUCUCUCGGGACUGGAUUCGGUCCUUUCAGGCAGGUGGGGAGCUUCACUGGCGCCCUCGUUUGUGGGAAAGAGCAGACAGAUCUGUGUUUUGUUCUAGAAGGACCUUUCACGUUCAGUCUGGCUGAAGCAGAAUUCAACGGUUACUCUAACCAUAGAUCGCACUGAGGAUCUGAGGAAAUUAUGUUCCCACGGCCCCCAAAGGGGGGAAAGCAAUUAAAACACAAGUCAUUAUUACAUUCUAAAUAUGGGCCACGUUGGCUCCCUUGAAAGCUAUUAAC